RNAcentral lists this long non-coding RNA (480 nucleotides) under Brassica napus (rape). RNAcentral's name for it is "long non-coding RNA (BNAP_LNC009874)". The record is from RNAcentral. Lineage: Eukaryota; Viridiplantae; Streptophyta; Magnoliopsida; Brassicales; Brassicaceae.
UUGAUGAGACCACGGGAAACAAUCAAGAGCUGGGCAUGUACUGUCUGGUACGAAGGUGCUAACCAAAUCAUGCGUUUAAUAUGUGGCUUGCUACUCUUGAUAGGUUGCCGACAAGACAAUGGUUGUCUGCGUGGGAUCUUAAUAUUUCCAAUCUUUGUUGUCUCUUCUCUGCCUCUAAAGAAUCAAAAGAAGAUACAUGGGACAAAGGAGUCGUAUCCUUGUCGGGUGGGGUAACGGUUUCAAGUUAGUAGUAUUCUCUAGUGGUGUGAUAGUUGCAGGCAGAGAAGUAGUAGCAUCUGAUGAGGGUAACAAAGGAAGAACCGACGAUGUGGGAGCAAUCUAAGAGUUUGGUGAUAACCAAUCAUUAACAGCAGUAUCAGAUUUUAAAACUGGAGGUGUAAUAUAUUGUGUGUCUUGAACUCCUAGAAAAUGAUCCUCAAAAAAACACAACAUCUCAACUUGAAAAGAAAUCAUUGCUCU